AUUAAUCAUUUGUUUUUCAUUUUUUUCAUGCUCAGGAAAGCUUUACCUGCCAAUCAAGGAGUAGAAAUGCUGCCACGUGACUCUCACAGCCUGACACAAUCAUUCACUCAUCACACAAGGACUGACAGUGAGGCCAACAAUGCAUGCUGUGCUUUGGAUACAAAGAGCAGUGCAAUCAUACAAAUGUCAAAUGCCAAAGAGGAGCACGUGGAAGCAGUGAAAGGCUUGGAGUGAAAGUGAUGAACAGUAAGGAGAAACUGCAGACAGCGAGCUAAGUAAGGGCUGAAGACCCAGAAGAGCUCUGCAUUGACUUCAGUGGAGCAAGACUUCUGUGUUUACACAUGAGAUGACCUGGAUGCAUGAUCCUAAAUUAACAAAGAGGUAAUACCCAUUCAGUUUUUAUCACAUUUGGCCUAACUAUAAAGGAAUUAUUUGUUUUGCUCUUCUUAAACAUUAUUGAGGCAACAAAUGAUUAUAUACAGUAUGAUAUAAAACGUUUUGCUCUAUUUUUA
This 512-nucleotide long non-coding RNA is filed under the name Anas platyrhynchos (mallard). RNAcentral's name for it is "lncRNA (ENSAPLG00020007446.1)". The record is from RNAcentral. Lineage: Eukaryota; Metazoa; Chordata; Aves; Anseriformes; Anatidae.